This is a long non-coding RNA of Equus asinus (donkey), 1855 nucleotides long. NCBI's taxonomy places the organism in Eukaryota, Metazoa, Chordata, Mammalia, Perissodactyla, Equidae. The record is from Ensembl.
AGGCCCCUCCAUCUGAACUUCCAGCUUAGUUUUCUGAGCAUGGAGGCUGAGGAACUCAAGUGAGUGGGUGUUCGCAGCCUGGCAGCACAUUGGAAUCACCUGGGGUGCUUUGAAAACUACAGCUGUUCGGGCCAGCACAGGCUAAUUAAAUUAGCAUUUUGAGGGAGGGGGUGCCCUGAUGACAGCAUGUUUCAAAGCCUCUUCAGGUGAUCAUAGUCGGCAUCAGGGUGAAGAGCCAUUGGCCUACGGCAGUGGUCCUCAGUCACCUGGUGAGCUUGUUAAACCACAGUUUGCGGGGCCCCAUCCCACACUUUCUCAUUCAACGGGUCGGGGGUGGGGUGGAGUCUGAGAAUCUGCAUUUCUACCCAGCAACCAGGUGCUGCUGCUCCUGGGCUCCCACUGAGGACCACUGGCUCAGCCCAAGUCUCCUUCAAAGCUAGUGCCAGUGAGCCCAGGUUUGGGAUCCCUCCCAGCCUUGGAUCCUGGCGUGGCAGAUCCAGCAUCUGGUUCUAGCUCUGCUACCAUCCAAUCCUGGACUGCUCACAUCCUUCUCUGGGCCUCGGACAACACUCUCUCUCAAGUGCCUUUUAAGCUCUCAGAAUCUUUGAUUAUGAAUUGUAAGUGGGAUGAAGCAGCAUUUCCAGCUGAUGAACAGACCCACAGGUCACAGGAUGUCUCCUAAAGUAAGCUUGUGGCAGGCAACUGCAGCAAUGAGGAAACUGUUGACCAGGGACAACCGGGAAUACUCAUCUCAGUACAGGCGGGAAUCUGUUCUUCAGAAACUUGGAAAUUACUGAAAAGUGUAUGGAGCAAAUGAAAAAUUAUGCAGAAUCCUGUAGCCCAAAGAGAGCAAUUGGACGCCUACCACAGCAUGAAUUGACAAGCGGUACAAUGUCUGCACCCGGGAUCCAAACUGGGGAACCCCAGGCCACAGAAGCAGAAUGUGCACACCUAACCGCUGCGCCACCGGGCCAGCCUCUGAUGAAAUUGUGAUUCAUCCCUUUCUUCUUCUUUUCUUGUAUACCUAUGUAUUUUAAAACAAUUGAAGUAAUGCAAGAGAAACAAAGGUGGGCAUUCCUAUCGCCUGCUUUCCUGUUUUAUUAUUGGUUCUUUGAAAUCAUAAAAAUGACUAGUCCAUGGAUGAUAAUAAUUGCCAAUGUUUGAGUCCUUAAGACGUGAGAUGGUGGGUAAAUGCGUGUUCAUUGUCUCAGUUAAAUAAUCCGUCAUUUCUUUAACUGGUCUUCUAUGUAAACAAUGCUGUGAUGAACAUCUUUCGUAUACAUAUUUUCAUCUUUCUGAUUAUUUCUUUAGACCAGGAGUUGGCACACUUUUUUAUAAAGGACCAGAUAAUAUUUUAUGUUUAGUGGGCCAUAUGGUCUCUGUCACAACUACUCAAUUCUCCACUGCAGCACAAAAGCAGCCAUAAACCGUAUAAACAAAUGAGCGUGGACGCAUUCCGAUAAAAUGUUAUUUACAAAAACAGGUGGCUGGUUGGGUUUGGUCUGUGGGCCAUAGUUUGCCCACCCUGCUUUACACUAGAAUCAGUGAAGGACUGGCAAAUUCUUUUCAAUAAAAGGCAGAUAGAAAAUGUAUUUAGUUGUGCCCAGUACUGUCUUUGUUGCUGUUUCUUCUCCCCUCCCGCUUUGACCUCUUCUCUCCCUCCUCCUCGUCCUCCUCCUCCUUCCCCUCCUCCUCGUCCUCCUCCUCCUUCCCCUCCUCCUCGUCCUCCUCGUCCUCCUCCUCAUCCUCCUCCUCGUCCUCCUCCUCCUUCCCCUCCUCCUUCCCCUCCUCCUCGUCCUCCUCCUUCCCCUCCUCCUCGUCCUCCUCCUCGUCCUCCUCCUCCUCCUCCUCUUCC